Molecule: ribosomal RNA, 657 nt
Filed under: Lacticaseibacillus rhamnosus
Lineage: Bacteria; Bacillati; Bacillota; Bacilli; Lactobacillales; Lactobacillaceae
Description: bacterial SSU rRNA
Rfam family: Bacterial small subunit ribosomal RNA
Source: RNAcentral
GCAGUCGAACGAGUUCUGAUUAUUGAAAGGUGCUUGCAUCUUGAUUUAAUUUUGAACGAGUGGCGGACGGGUGAGUAACACGUGGGUAACCUGCCCUUAAGUGGGGGAUAACAUUUGGAAACAGAUGCUAAUACCGCAUAAAUCCAAGAACCGCAUGGUUCUUGGCUGAAAGAUGGCGUAAGCUAUCGCUUUUGGAUGGACCCGCGGCGUAUUAGCUAGUUGGUGAGGUAACGGCUCACCAAGGCAAUGAUACGUAGCCGAACUGAGAGGUUGAUCGGCCACAUUGGGACUGAGACACGGCCCAAACUCCUACGGGAGGCAGCAGUAGGGAAUCUUCCACAAUGGACGCAAGUCUGAUGGAGCAACGCCGCGUGAGUGAAGAAGGCUUUCGGGUCGUAAAACUCUGUUGUUGGAGAAGAAUGGUCGGCAGAGUAACUGUUGUCGGCGUGACGGUAUCCAACCAGAAAGCCACGGCUAACUACGUGCCAGCAGCCGCGGUAAUACGUAGGUGGCAAGCGUUAUCCGGAUUUAUUGGGCGUAAAGCGAGCGCAGGCGGUUUUUUAAGUCUGAUGUGAAAGCCCUCGGCUUAACCGAGGAAGUGCAUCGGAAACUGGGAAACUUGAGUGCAGAAGAGGACAGUGGAACUCCAUGUGUAGC